UUCCAGAUCCUUAACCCACUGAGCGAGGCCAGGGAUCGAACCUGUGUCCUCAUGGAUACUAGUUGGGUUUGUAACCCCUGAGCCACAAUGGGAUCUCUCUCUCAUUUGUUGAUACAGAAAUAAGAGCAUCUUUCCUAUCUGCCUCACAGAAUCUUAAAACUUAUUUAUUGAUUUUAAAAUUCUUUUCCCUCCAGUGUAUGCUGUAUCUCAGCCACUGUGCCAGGUACUAGGAAGGCAACACUGAAGAGAAAGUCAGAUGCUGUCUUGGCUGAACUCGUAUUGUGGUUGUGUUCGACCAGAGGGCAGAGACCAUGGCCUAUUCGUGGGUGUAGGGCCCAGUACCCACCUUGAAGGUACUGUGUCAUGGCCUCUCAGCUCACAUUCACCUUGAGUACCUGCUCUGUGAAAUGGGACUGGACCCUAAGCGUUUCUCCUCUAUGGGAUGGUCGCGGUGCAGGUCCGUGAGCACAGUGGUGCUCUGCCCCAGCUGUGAGCCCAGAAUAUGCAGUGUCUCUUGGAGACUGUGCAGGCCCAAGACCACUUCCUGUGGCCCUCCCUUCCCGGUUCUGCACAGUCCAGUCUGCAGUGAUGCCCCGGCUCCCUCUGCCCACCUGUCCACCAGCCUAGCUCACCUGCCCCCUGCAGAGCUGUCUCCUGCACCAGCCACUCAGUAAACUUCUCUACCAUCCAGUGGGCGCCAACCACAUCUGCAAAGAGAUCUGAGGCCCAGCUUUUGGGAUGGGGCUGCCCUUCCAAGUUUGUCUUUUUUUUUUUUUUUUU
Non-coding RNA from Sus scrofa (pig), 780 nucleotides. NCBI's taxonomy places the organism in Eukaryota, Metazoa, Chordata, Mammalia, Artiodactyla, Suidae. The record is from RefSeq and is a predicted model, not a curated record.